ACUCCUACGGGAGGCAGCAGCGAGGAAUCUUGGGCAAUGGGCGAAAGCCUGACCCAGCGACGCCGCGUGGGGGAAGAAGGCCUUCGGGUCGUAAACCCCUUUUGCCGGGGAAGAAGCUCUGACGGUACCCGGCGAAUAAGCCACGGCUAACUACGUGCCAGCAGCCGCGGUAAU
This 174-nucleotide ribosomal RNA is filed under the name uncultured delta proteobacterium. RNAcentral's name for it is "partial 16S ribosomal RNA". It matches the Rfam family "Bacterial small subunit ribosomal RNA", at positions 335 to 524 of the family's 1533-position model. Lineage: Bacteria; Deltaproteobacteria. The record is from RNAcentral.